CCUUACACCCACAUUACCAUUAACCUAUCUAAAAUUAUUUACAAAUUGAACAUCGUUUUCUUAUUUUUUAAAAAAAUUAAUAAUUAAAAUUUUGCCUCUCUAGUUUUGCUUUUCACACUUUUUUUCUUUUCUUGUAACUAUAGUUUUAGAGAUGAGAGAUAUCUCUGCUAGGGUUUUUUCAAUAAUGCUCAUGUUCUUCUCCCAUCUCUGCAACUACCACUGUCGCUAUUGCUGUCUUCACUCAGCACUGCCACCACCACUUCUAUUGCCGCCACACCACACUUUUCGGUCCUCUGCGUUGUUGCGUUUUGUCUCUGCUCCUGCGAACUACUCAGAGCAAAUUCUCUGCCGUCUACAAACGAGUUCUCAGAGAUGGCUCUUCUGUGGUCAUCAGAAGUAUUAAUGUGACAUGCUGCAUACCUGAGGAAAUUGAAUUCUUGAAGGGAUUGAGCCUGCUAACCUCACUGAGACAUGAAAACAUUAUAAAGAUGAGAGGUUUUUGUUACUCAAGUAGUAGAGGUGAAUGUUACCUUGUCUAUGAUUUUGUAACCGGUGAAUGUCUAUGAUUUUGUUAUCUUGAUAUGGAAGAUGGAAGUGAAAAUGUGCUUGAGUCUUCUAAUAGGGUUUCCAUCAUCAAGGGCAAUGCAAAAGGGUAGUUCUUUUUCGACACCCAAUAUUUUCUAAGAAACUCAUUGUAGAUCAGAAAAUUUGCCUCUUUCUUACAACAAGGUCUUGGAUAUCUGCACAGCAAUAAAGCAAGCAAACCUACAAUGGUUCACCAAAAUAUUUUAGUUGAAAAAGUUCUUCUUGACAAUCAGUUUAACCCAUUGAUCAUGGAUGCUGGGUUCCCCAAGCUUCUAGCAGACGACAUUGUUUACUCGGCACCGAAAGUUGGUGCUGCCAUGGGAUACCUAGCUCCUGAAUACAUUACCACUGGACGCAUCACCGAGAAGAGCGACGUUUAUGCAUUCGGUGUCAUUGUUCUUUAAGUCCUGUCUGGGAAGACAACAGUAGGGGGUUCAAUCAGAAUGGCAGUUGAGUUUUUGAGAUUUGAUGAUUUUGUGGACACAAAUCUAAAGGAAAAAUAUUCGAAACUAGAAGCAGCAAUUCUUUCAAAGAUUGCAGUGAUGUGCAUUCAUGAGCUUUCUGAGCAAAGGCCAAACAUGGUAGAGGUGAUUCAGGAACUAAGCAUGUAUUCUUCUCAUUCUUCAUGAUCUAGAACUUUCAGUGGGUAUCAUAAAUUCCUAACACAUUUGAUUCAUUCAUGACCAUGGUUUUCUUUAGUA
Arachis duranensis is the source of this 1286-nucleotide long non-coding RNA. RefSeq lists it as uncharacterized. The record is from RefSeq and is a predicted model, not a curated record. Lineage: Eukaryota; Viridiplantae; Streptophyta; Magnoliopsida; Fabales; Fabaceae. The transcript has 3 exons.